AUGACCCCGGAGUCCCCUUCCACAGUCCUGUGGGCACGCGCGUGUUCCCACGCGGAAGGGCACAGCGGGCCAUUAUCAUUUCUUCCCGAGGCAGAAGGAGGUAGAAGAGACGUGCGGGUUGCCGCGUCAGGAACGCAAGCCGCACCGCGUAAUUUUGGGGCUCUCAUCCAGGAUAGAACCGUAGGGGGAGCAAAGCGCCCAGGAACGAUCCUUCUGCGGAGAGCCAAGAGCCACCGGUCCGAUCGACCUGCUUGCUCCGGGGGCUUCCCUGGCACUCGGACCCGGCUGGAAGCUCCGGCCCCGGGAACUUUCAUUCCGCAGCCUCGGAGGCCGCACGGGUCGGGGCCCGGAGCCCGAGAAGACGCCCCCCCCCCACACCGCUGGCCGAGGCAAGGCCUCUGGCCCGGGAGCGUAGCGGGGUUGCCACGCGCGUCCCACCCGGGGCCGAGCGCCGUUCUCUGGGCGGCCACGGGCUCAAGAAGAGCCUCGAGGAAGAGUUCCCGCCCAGUGCGGCCUGGACCUGCUCCCAGCCUCCACUCCGAAGAGCAGCAGGCCGGAUGGUCGCCCGGGACAAGGCGGUCCGCACGGCAGCGCCGCUUUCACGAGGCUGCGAGGCGCCCCUUUGCGAAACGCGCUUCUGCCCGCCGGCUCCCUGGCUGCGGCUACGGCCCGGCCGUGCGAACCGCCCUCUGUCUGCAGGCCAUUAACUGGUGCCCCCGGCACAGUGGACCCCCUGCAGAAGCACCGGCAGCUGCCCCCCGCCGCACCACUGACUGCUGGAUAGUCCGGGCCGUCCCCGCAGGCCGUGGGCAGCCUCUCGGUCCCUCCCUCCCGCCUGUGGCCAGGCUGGGUUCUGCGGGCGGGGCGGGGGGUCUGCGGCACCAAACUGCAGCGUUACUCAGCGGCUGCUUGGAACGGAAAUGUGGCCCAGCAUCGGGGGGGGGGGACGCCUCUGUUCUCAGAGCUCACUCGACCCUUGCACGCGAGCGUGCGACUGGAGGCGCGCGCUUCUGCGCUCCCGUCGGGGCCGAGGUGCAUUUCUUUUGCCUGGCCCGGCGGUCCCCCUGGCAGCGGGGAACGGCUAGGCAGGGGGGCUCCCGGCUGCCCUUGCUUGUUCACACGGGCAAUGCUCCGCUUUCGCUGCGCUUCCUCUCCAUCUUUCCCUGUCACAAAGCAGAGGGAAGCAGCGGGAGCAGCGAAACCGCCUCUUGCUAG
Molecule: long non-coding RNA, 1215 nt
Filed under: Salvator merianae (Argentine black and white tegu)
Lineage: Eukaryota; Metazoa; Chordata; Lepidosauria; Squamata; Teiidae
Description: lncRNA (ENSSMRG00000004514.1)
Source: RNAcentral